AACGAACGCUGGCGGCAGGCUUAACACAUGCAAGUUGAACGGGAUUUGUGUGGUGCUUGCACCAUAUAAUGAGAGUAGCGCACUGGUGAGUAACACGUGGGAACGUACCUUUUGGUGGGGGACAACAUCUGGAAACGGAUGCUAAUACCGCAUAAUCCCUGAGGGGGAAAGAUUUAUCGCUUUAAGAUUGGCCCGCGGAAGAUUAGGUAGUUGGUGGGGUAAAGGCCUACCAAGCCGACGAUCUAUAGCUGGUCUGAGAGGACGAACAGCCACAUUGGAACUGAGACACGGUCCAG
This 296-nucleotide ribosomal RNA is filed under the name uncultured bacterium. RNAcentral describes it as "partial 16S ribosomal RNA". It matches the Rfam family "Bacterial small subunit ribosomal RNA", at positions 29 to 334 of the family's 1533-position model. The record is from RNAcentral.